GACGAACGCUGGCGGCGUGCCUAAUACAUGCAGGUAGAACGCUGAAGGAGGAGCUUGCUCUUCUGGAUGAGUUGCGAACGGGUGAGUAACGCGUAGGUAACCUGCCUGGUAGCGGGGGAUAACUAUUGGAAACGAUAGCUAAUACCGCAUAAGAGUAGAUGUUGCAUGACAUUUGCUUAAAAGGUGCACUUGCAUCACUACCAGAUGGACCUGCGUUGUAUUAGCUAGUUGGUGGGGUAACGGCUCACCAAGGCGACGAUACAUAGCCGACCUGAGAGGGGGAUCGGCCAAAAUGGGACUGGAGCACGGCCCAGACCUCUACGGGGGGCAGCAGUAGGGGAUCUUCGGCAAUGGACGGAAGGCUGGCCGAGGAACGCCGCGUGAGUUAAGAAGGUUUUCGGAUCGUAAAGGUCUGUUGUAAGAGAAGGACGAGUGUGAGAGUGGAAAGUUCACGUUGUGACGGUAUCUUACCAGAAAGGGACGGCUAACUACGUG
RNAcentral lists this ribosomal RNA (495 nucleotides) under uncultured bacterium. RNAcentral's name for it is "partial 16S ribosomal RNA". It matches the Rfam family "Bacterial small subunit ribosomal RNA", at positions 28 to 507 of the family's 1533-position model. The record is from RNAcentral.